UGGGAAGCGAGCCUCAUCGUUGGAAAAU
This 28-nucleotide non-coding RNA is filed under the name Mus musculus (house mouse). Lineage: Eukaryota; Metazoa; Chordata; Mammalia; Rodentia; Muridae. The record is from RNAcentral.